Molecule: ribosomal RNA, 529 nt
Filed under: uncultured Mollicutes bacterium
Lineage: Bacteria; Bacillati; Mycoplasmatota; Mollicutes
Description: bacterial SSU rRNA
Rfam family: Bacterial small subunit ribosomal RNA
Source: RNAcentral
AAGGGAUAGGGAACAGAUGGGCUUAUGGUGCAUUAGCUAGUUGGAGGGGUAACGGCCUACCAAGGCGACGAUGCAUAGCCGGCCUGAGAGGGUGAACGGCCACACUGGGACUGAGACACGGCCCAGACUCCUACGGGAGGCAGCAGUAGGGAAUUUUCGGCAAUGGGGGGAACCCUGACCGAGCAACGCCGCGUGAAGGAAGAAGGCCUUCGGGUUGUAAACUUCUGUUAUAAAGGAAGAACGACUAAUACAGGGAAUGGUAUUAGAGUGACGGUACUUUGUGAGGAAGCCACGGCUAACUACGUGCCAGCAGCCGCGGUAAUACGUAGGUGGCAAGCGUUAUCCGGAAUUAUUGGGCGUAAAGAGGGAGCAGGCGGCAAUGGAGGUCUGUGGUAAAAGGCUGAAGCUUAACUUCAGUAAGCCAUGGAAACCAAAUAGCUAGAGUGCAGAAGAGGAUCGUGGAAUUCCAUGUGUAGCGGUGAAAUGCGUAGAUAUAUGGAGGAACACCAGUGGCGAAGGCGACGAUCUG